RNAcentral lists this ribosomal RNA (545 nucleotides) under uncultured Staphylococcus sp. Its description in RNAcentral is "partial 16S ribosomal RNA". Lineage: Bacteria; Bacillati; Bacillota; Bacilli; Caryophanales; Staphylococcaceae. The record is from RNAcentral.
UACUCCCCAGGCGGAGUGCUUAAUGCGUUAGCUGCAGCACUAAGGGGCGGAAACCCCCUAACACUUAGCACUCAUCGUUUACGGCGUGGACUACCAGGGUAUCUAAUCCUGUUUGAUCCCCACGCUUUCGCACAUCAGCGUCAGUUACAGACCAGAAAGUCGCCUUCGCCACUGGUGUUCCUCCAUAUCUCUGCGCAUUUCACCGCUACACAUGGAAUUCCACUUUCCUCUUCUGCACUCAAGUUUUCCAGUUUCCAAUGACCCUCCACGGUUGAGCCGUGGGCUUUCACAUCAGACUUAAAAAACCGCCUACGCGCGCUUUACGCCCAAUAAUUCCGGAUAACGCUUGCCACCUACGUAUUACCGCGGCUGCUGGCACGUAGUUAGCCGUGGCUUUCUGAUUAGGUACCGUCAAGAUGUGCACGGUUACUUACACAUAUGUUCUUCCCUAAUAACAGAGUUUUACGAUCCGAAGACCUUCAUCACUCACGCGGCGUUGCUCCGUCAGGCUUUCGCCCAUUGCGGAAGAUUCCCUACUGCUGCCU